UAAGGCGGUUAUAUUUAGCACACACACACAGGUAGCUGGCACUUAGCGAGGUAAAAUGACGGCCAUAAGGAGAGGGACAGUUGACGGUGCGGGCACAUAAAUGUUUGACAGACGGGUGAGAAGUCAUCAAGAUACAUAUCCCUCCAUUGGGACUGAGAUCAGUGGGACAGUCAGCGACCUGGGAGUACCGCGAGGUAGCUACAAGUUGGACUGACGACAUUGUCAGCGGUUCAUUGAUCAGCGACAAGCCGGACAUACCUGAGCGAGAUGUUGUGAGAGUGAGAGUGAGAUUGUGUCACUUAUCAAGUAUACGGACGAUCAGACCCACUCAUGAUGAGUAUAUUCGGUUGGAGGAAGAGUUUGGCGAUCAGCGAGUCGGACCCGACUUACAAGGUACGGUAUCUGGGGAACGUUCAAACGGCCAUGAUGAAAGGCGACGGUUGUGUGGACAAGCCCGUGUCAAUAAUAUGGAACAACUACAUGCGGAGUUCCCACCCUGGCCUCGAGAUGAAGCUCGUCGUCACAGGCUCCGGACUCAAGGCGUACACGAAGGAGCAAGGACUCACGGAGUACCGAGCACACAGGAUCUCGUACUGCAUCGCUCAUCCUCAGUACCCGAGGGUGUUCGUCUGGGUGUACAGACACGAGGGGAAGAAGAUGAAAAUGGAGCUGCGUUGUCAUGCUGUGCUGUGUAAAACUGAACUGAAGGCUAAGUCCAUGGCACUCCAGCUUCACGAAAAACUCUCCUUCGCCCUUAAAGAGUUUCAGAGAGACAAAGUUCGGAAACAGAACUCCCGACUUGUGUUGCAAAGAACCAAUUCCCUGCCCAAAGCGGGAUCUGUUCUCCCUUUGAGGAAACAGAUGUUAAGCACAGCUACAAACUUCAAACCCCCCGUGAGUAAGUCAAACACCGCUCCCAAACUUGGCGCUAUAACGGAGGACUUCGAGGAGUGUGAACACGAGGAGUUUUGUGUGUGUGAGGACUUGGGGGAGUGCGACGAGAACGACAACCUGGAGAGUGCCAGUGAGAUGGUGGCGGCGUUGACGCUCCACUCCGACACAGCCUCCCUCCAUACACUCAACCCCGAGUGCCUUACAGACCGCAUCAUUGACGUCGAGAUCGGCAACGACAUCGACGAACUUCGUCAGAAUGAGGAAAUUAAAUUAUGUCACGGAAACACGGACUCCGAUGAAGAAAGUGCGGAGUCUGGGUUUCACGACCAGGAUCAGGACCCGAGGGAGGGGUUGGGACUUGUGGAGGAGGGGGAGGGAAGCGUCUGUGAGCUACCCUGUGGGGACACGCCAGAAGACGAUGGGGAUAGCACCAACUUAUAAUGGAUACAGAGAUCGCAAUCCUACCUUAUACAGUGUCCUUGACGUUGUGCCUGACCUUGACAUUGACCUCGACGUUGUGCCUGACCUUGACCUUGACCUAGACGUUGCGCCUGACCUUCACUUCUGUGGGAUAAUGGUUUCCUGUCCUCAGCGACAAAUGUUGCCACAAGUUACAGGAACCAUGUGUUGACCAUGAGAACAUGGAGAUUACUGUUCCGUGAAAGGUGUGUGGCUGCUGUCGAAACGGGGGUAAACGCACAAAUAGUAUACGUUGUACACAGGAGACCACAGGAGACCACAGGAGACUAUAGGAGACUAUAGGACCGGGGCGAAUGUCGUCCACAGCAGUGCUUGUGAAAUGCUCUAACAACUUACAUGAGUGCUUACCUGGGACACGUGAUUGACAGUUGAAAUGUACACGUUGCACAAGGCGAAGACGUGAUUGACAGUUGAAAUGUACACGUGGGACAAGGCAGAAGAUGUGAUUGACAGUUGAAAUCACGCACGUGCGAAUCUGUGUGCCUCUAUUGUGUGUAGAUUGUUAAGACUUCAGAAUUGUACAUAUGUCAUGUCUGGACCAACUGGCCCUGGUGAUUCAUCUGUGAGCAUUUGAUUGUUGACUUGCCAAAAUAUUUUCAUUUGUGGAUUUUCAACUGAUUUUCAUCAGAGAUAGUUUUGAUACUCUGCAUCUGUAUAUAAUAUGAAUGUAAUGUUUAUUUGUUCAUUGUUCAUAUGUAUAUUUAUUUUGUGUAAAAUAUUCAAACAUCGUUAUUAUCUAAAAGGCAAUAUGUUGGUUUGUCUUUCGCAGUGUUGUAUACCGUUGUUCAUCUUAUUUGAAAUCUCGAAUUUAUAUGUACCAUAUUUUAGAUUGUUUAUAGGUUUUAAUCCUUAAGGAAAAAUAAAUUUAAGGUAGAUGCACGGAUACGUCAUAAAUCACGCUCAGUCUGGGGAGUGGUAUAUUUAAUCUUUAAAUAGUUGAAGCCGUUUGGAAGCCUUUCAUAAACUGAAUAUUUGACACAUAUACAUUAAGUAACUUAUAAGUAGUUAUCUAUUUCAUCAAGGUCAUCAUGAUGAAUGUGACAUUUCUGUCUACGCAAAUGGAUUAAUGGCUGUGCUCAAUUGCUUAACACUGAUUAACACUUAACUUUCAAAUCAAAAGGUUUUCGAACAUAACGCUGUGAUUUUGAGUCGUUAAUACUUUUGUUUAUUAUUUGUUUACUCUCACUGUAUAACGAAAGCAGAUUUAGCUAUGAGAACUAUGUACUAUGCAUGUAGCGGGUAGACAAGUUUAAACAUGGCGCUUGUUUCAUGAUCAAUGUGUUCUCUAUUUUCUUGAUCCAUCACAAGGUGUGAUCGCAAUGUCCAUUUGCUUGCAAAACUAACAUGUGAUGCCAUUUGUUGAUGUUCGCCCUCAAGGGUUGUGAUCAAUUAAUAUAUUCUGUAUUUGUAACGUGUGUACAUAUUCUGGCCCUGUGCAAUAUAACUGAACUUGUACACAGCCAGUUAACGAGUCUGUACAUAUUGGUGGACAGCUCUCUGUGGGGUGGGAGAGGAAGUAUAUUUUUAUAGCUGUCAAAGAGCAGAACUCGGAUGAUAAGUACAGUGUCAUUGAUACAAAGAUGCUUAUAUGUUCAUGUAAUACAGUUCAAGAUCUUAGCUCCGUGGCCAUACGGUUAUGUGAUGGUAAAGGUUAUUGCUUCACUGUGAGUUGAAUGAUCGGUUUCAUUAAGAGGGUAUAGAUAAGGGGGGUGUGUGUAAGGUCGGGUACAUCAAGAGGGUUUUGAUAGUCACGUAUUUAUUUGUAUUCACAUAAUAAUAAUUUCUUUCCUAAAAGCAAGUUUAGAUUUCAUUUUCAAUAUUCUGAGAUACAGGUCAUCAAUAAGGUCCGUCCAUGACAGUUUUACAAGGAUUAUGUGUUAAGGUUUUCCACCAAAAGCCUCAGGGGCAGUAACUCUUGCGUCAACCGUGGAACUCCGUUCAUCGCGACGGUUCACUCCAAGGACUGAACACUUUCAUACUGUUCACUUGUUGACAUGUCCAUGAUUGUAGGUUUACGGAGCAAUGGAAUAGGUCAUGAUUUGUAGGUCACAGAGCUAUGGAAAAGGUCAUGAUUUGUAGGUCACGGAGCAAUGGGGGAGGUCAUGAUUUGUAGGUCACGGAGCUAUGGGAUAGGUCAUGAUUUGUAGGUCACGGAGCAAUGGGGGAGGUCAUGAUUUGUAGGUCACGGAGCUAUGGGAUGGGUCGUGUUUAAAUUUGUAGGUCACAGAGCCAUGGGGUAGGUCAUGAUUUGUAGGUCACGGAGCAAUGGGGGAGGUCAUGAUUUGUAGGUCACGGAGCCAUGGGGUAGGUCAUGAUUUGUAGGUCACGGGACAAUGGGAUAGGUCAGGAUUUGUAGGUCACGGAACAAUUGGAUAGGUCUGAUUUGUAGCUCACGGAGCCAUGGGAUGGGUCGUGAUUUGUAGGUCACGGAGCCAUGGGGUAGGUCAUUAUUUGUAGGUCACGGAACAAUUGGAUAGGUCUGAUUUGUAGGUCACGGAGCCAUGGGAUGGGUCGUGUUUAUAGGUCACGGAGCCAUGGGAUGGGUCGUGAUUUGUAGGUCACGGAGCCAUGGGGUAGGUCAUGAUUUAAAGGUCACGGAGCCAUGGGAAAGGUCAUAAUCAAAAGGUCACGGAGCCAUGGGGAUAGGUCAUGAUUUGUGAAUUUGAUGUUCUGGAACCACUGGCUAACCUCUCGUCGGUUGUCAACGUGUUUGUGUAAUAUGCAGGUGCUGUAUCUCCCCAUUUAUCCCAGUCACUACAGAAAUAAGAGCCAGAAACACCCCUUUGCCUUAUCAAAGUAUGGCAAGCCUGGGCUGAUUUCACUUGUUUGACUCACACAGGUGCUGUAUCACCCCAUUUAUCCCAGUCACUACAGAAAUAAGAGCCAGAAACACCCCUUUGCCUUAUCAAAGUAUGGCAAGCCAGGGGUGAUGUCACUUGUUUGACUCACACAGGUGCUGUAUCACCCCAUUUAUCCCAGUCACUACAGAAAUAAGAGCCAGAAACACCCCUUUGCCUUAUCAAAGUAUGGCAAGCCUGGGCUGAUUUCACUUGUUUGACUCACACAGGUGCUGUAUCACCCCAUUUAUCCCAGUCACUACAGAAAUAAGAGCCAGAAACACCCCUUUGCCUUAUCAAAGUAUGGCAAGCCUGGGCUGAUUUCACUUGUUUGACUCACACAGGUGCUGUAUCACCCCAUUUAUCCCAGUCACUACAGAAAUAAGA
RNAcentral lists this unclassified non-coding RNA (4598 nucleotides) under Haliotis rufescens (red abalone). RNAcentral describes it as "protein FAM43A-like, transcript variant X1". The record is from RNAcentral. Lineage: Eukaryota; Metazoa; Mollusca; Gastropoda; Lepetellida; Haliotidae.